GUCCAGACUCCUACGGGAGGCAGCAGUGGGGAAUAUGCACAAUGGCGAAAGCCUGAUGCAGCAACGCCGCUGAGCGAUGAAGGCCUUCGGGUCGUAAAGCUCUGUCCUCAAGGAAGAUAAUGACGGUACUUGAGGAGGAAGCCCCGGCUAACUACGUGCCAGCAGCCGCGGUAAUACGUAGGGGGCUAGCGUUAUCCGGAAUUACUGGGCGUAAAGGGUGCGUAGGUGGUUUUUUAAGUCAGAAGUGAAAGGCUACGGCUCAACCGUAGUAAGCUUUUGAAACUAGAGAACUUGAGUGCAGGAGAGGAGAGUAGAAUUCCUAGUGUAGCGGUGAAAUGCGUAGAUAUUAGGAGGAAUACCAGUAGCGAAGGCGGCUCUCUGGACUGUAACUGACACUGAGGCACGAAAGCGUGGGGAGCAAACAGGANNAGAUACCCUGGUAGUCCACGCCGUAAACGAUGUGUACUAGGUGUCGGGGGUUAAGAGCAUGUGGUUAAUUCGAAGCAACGCGAAGAACCUUACCUAAGCUUGACAUCCCACUGACCUCUCCCUAAUCGGAGUUUCCCUUCGGGGACAGUGGUGACAGGUGGUGCAUGGUUGUCGUCAGCUCGUGUCGUGAGAUGUUGGGUUAAGUCCCGCAACGAGCGCAACCCUUGCCUUUAGUUGCCAGCAUUAAGUUGGGCACUCUAGAGGGACUGCCGAGGAUAACUCGGAGGAAGGUGGGGAUGGACGUCAAAUCAUCAUGCCCCUUAUGCUUAGGGCUACACACGUGCUACAAUGGGUGGUACAGAGGGUUGCCAAGCCGCGAGGUGGAGCUAAUCCCUUAAACGCCAUUCUCAGUUCGGAUUGUAGGCUGAAACUCGCCUACAUGAAGCUGGAGUUACUAGUAAUCGCAGAUCAGAAUGCUGCGGUGAAUGCGUUCCCGGGUCUUGUACACACCGCCCGUCACACCAUGGAAGUUGGGGGCGCCCGAAGCCGGUUAGCUAACCUUUUAGGAAGCGGCCGUCNAAGGUGAAACCAAUGACUGGGGUGAAGNCGUAACAAGGUA
Molecule: ribosomal RNA, 1048 nt
Filed under: Clostridium sp. MT10-N
Lineage: Bacteria; Bacillati; Bacillota; Clostridia; Eubacteriales; Clostridiaceae
Description: bacterial SSU rRNA
Rfam family: Bacterial small subunit ribosomal RNA
Source: RNAcentral